Molecule: ribosomal RNA, 1232 nt
Filed under: metagenome
Description: bacterial SSU rRNA
Rfam family: Bacterial small subunit ribosomal RNA
Source: RNAcentral
UAGCUAGUUGGUGAGGUAACGGCCCACCAAGGCGACGAUCGGUAGCCGGACUGAGAGGUUGAACGGCCACAUUGGGACUGAGACACGGCCCAGACUCCUACGGGAGGCAGCAGUGGGGAAUAUUGCACAAUGGGGGAAACCCUGAUGCAGCGACGCCGCGUGGAGGAAGAAGGUCUUCGGAUUGUAAACUCCUGUUGUUGAGGAAGAUAAUGACGGUACUCAACAAGGAAGUGACGGCUAACUACGUGCCAGCAGCCGCGGUAAAACGUAGGUCACAAGCGUUGUCCGGAAUUACUGGGUGUAAAGGGAGCGCAGGCGGGCGAUCAAGUUGGAAGUGAAAUCCAUGGGCUCAACCCAUGAACUGCUUUCAAAACUGGUCGUCUUGAGUAGUGCAGAGGUAGGCGGAAUUCCCGGUGUAGCGGUGGAAUGCGUAGAUAUCGGGAGGAACACCAGUGGCGAAGGCGGCCUACUGGGCACCAACUGACGCUGAGGCUCGAAAGUGUGGGUAGCAAACAGGAUUAGAUACCCUGGUAGUCCACACCGUAAACGAUGAUUACUAGGUGUUGGGAGAUUGACCCUCUCAGUGCCGCAGUUAACACAAUAAGUAAUCCACCUGGGGAGUACGACCGCAAGGUUGAAACUCAAAGGAAUUGACGGGGGCCCGCACAAGCAGUGGAGUAUGUGGUUUAAUUCGACGCAACGCGAAGAACCUUACCAAGUCUUGACAUCCCUUGACGAUGCUGGAAACAGUAUUUCUCUUCGGAGCAAGGAGACAGGUGGUGCAUGGUUGUCGUCAGCUCGUGUCGUGAGAUGUUGGGUUAAGUCCCGCAACGAGCGCAACCCUUAUGGUCAGUUACUACGCAAGAGGACUCUGGCCAGACUGCCGUUGACAAAACGGAGGAAGGUGGGGAUGACGUCAAAUCAUCAUGCCCUUUAUGACUUGGGCUACACACGUACUACAAUGGCGUUAAACAAAGAGAAGCAAGACCGCGAGGCGGAGCAAAACUCAGAAACAACGUCCCAGUUCGGACUGCAGGCUGCAACUCGCCUGCACGAAGUCGGAAUUGCUAGUAAUCGUGGAUCAGCAUGCCACGGUGAAUGCGUUCCCGGGCCUUGUACACACCGCCCGUCACACCAUGAGAGCCGGGGGGACCCGAAGUCGGUAGUCUAACCGCAAGGAGGACGCCGCCGAAGGUAAAACUGGUGAUUGGGGUGAAGUCGUAACAAGGUAG